This 253-nucleotide ribosomal RNA is filed under the name uncultured bacterium. Its description in RNAcentral is "partial 16S ribosomal RNA". It matches the Rfam family "Bacterial small subunit ribosomal RNA", at positions 524 to 776 of the family's 1533-position model. The record is from RNAcentral.
UACGUAGGGGGCAAGCGUUGUCCGGAAUCAUUGGGCGUAAAGAGCGUGUAGGCGGCCCGAUAAGUCCGCUGUGAAAGUCCAGGGCUCAACCCUGGGAUGCCGGUGGAUACUGUCGGGCUCGAGUCCGGAAGAGGAGUGUGGAAUUCCUGGUGUAGCGGUGAAAUGCGCAGAUAUCAGGAGGAACACCGGUGGCGAAGGCGGAUCUCUGGGCCUUACCUGACGCUCAGGUGCGAAAGCUAGGGGAGCGAACAGG